This 522-nucleotide ribosomal RNA is filed under the name uncultured bacterium. RNAcentral describes it as "partial 16S ribosomal RNA". It matches the Rfam family "Bacterial small subunit ribosomal RNA", at positions 28 to 523 of the family's 1533-position model. The record is from RNAcentral.
GACGAACGCUGGCGGCGUGCCUAAUACAUGCAAGUCGAACGCAAAACUUUCACCGAAUGCUUGCAUUCACGAAAGUUUUGAGUGGCGAACGGGUGAGUAACACGUGGGUAACCUGCCCAGAAGAGGGGGAUAACACUUGGAAACAGGUGCUAAUACCGCAUAAUAACAAAAACCGCAUGGUUUUUGUUUGAAAGAUGGUUUUGCUAUCACUUCUGGAUGGACCCGCGGCGUAUUAGCUAGUUGGUAAGGUAAAGGCUUACCAAGGCAAUGAUACGUAGCCGAACUGAGAGGUUGAUCGGCCACAUUGGGACUGAGACACGGCCCAAACUCCUACGGGGGGCAGCAGUAGGGAAUCUUCCACAAUGGACGAAAGUCUGAUGGAGCAACGCCGCGUGAGUGAAGAAGGUUUUCGGAUCGUAAAACUCCGUUGUUAGAGAAGAACGUGUGUGAGAGUAACUGCUCAUGCAGUGACGGUAUCUAACCAGAAAGCCACGGCUAACUACGUGCCAGCAGCCGCAGUAA